GACGAACGCUGGCGGCGUGCUUAACACAUGCAAGUCGAACGGAAAGGCCCUGCUUUUGUGGGGUGCUCGAGUGGCGAACGGGUGAGUAACACGUGAGUAACCUGCCCUUGACUUUGGGAUAACUUCAGGAAACUGGGGCUAAUACCGGAUAGGAGCUCCUGCUGCAUGGUGGGGGUUGGAAAGUUUCGGCGGUUGGGGAUGGACUCGCGGCUUAUCAGCUUGUUGGUGGGGUAGUGGCUUACCAAGGCUUUGACGGGUAGCCGGCCUGAGAGGGUGACCGGCCACAUUGGGACUGAGAUACGGCCCAGACUCCUACGGGAGGCAGCAGUGGGGAAUAUUGCACAAUGGGCGGAAGCCUGAUGCAGCAACGCCGCGUGCGGGAUGACGGCCUUCGGGUUGUAAACCGCUUUCGCCUGUGACGAAGCGUGAGUGACGGUAAUGGGUAAAGAAGCACCGGCUAACUACGUGCCAGCAGCCGCGGUGAUACGUAGGGUGCGAGCGUUGUCCGGAUUUAUUGGGCGUAAAGGGCUCGUAGGUGGUCGAUCGCGUCGGAAGUGUAAUCUUGGGGCUUAACCCUGAGCGUGCUUUCGAUACGGGUUGACUUGAGGAAGGUAGGGGAGAAUGGAAUUCCUGGUGGAGCGGUGGAAUGCGCAGAUAUCAGGAGGAACACCAGUGGCGAAGGCGGUUCUCUGGGCCUUUCCUGACGCUGAGGAGCGAAAGCGUGGGGAGCGAACAGGCUUAGAUACCCUGGUAGUCCACGCUGUAAACGGUGGGUACUAGGUGUGGGGUCCAUUCCACGGGUUCCGUGCCGUAGCUAACGCUUUAAGUACCCCGCCUGGGGAGUACGGCCGCAAGGCUAAAACUCAAAGGAAUUGACGGGGCCCCGCACAAGCGGCGGAGCAUGCGGAUUAAUUCGAUGCAACGCGUAGAACCUUACCUGGGUUUGACAUGGAUCGGGAGUGCUCAGAGAUGGGUGUGCCUCUUUUGGGGUCGGUUCACAGGUGGUGCAUGCCUGUCGUCAGCUCGUGUCGUGAGAUGUUGGGUUAAGUCCCGCAACGAGCGCAACCCUUGUUCACUGUUGCCAGCACGUUAUGGUGGGGACUCAGUGGAGACCGCCGGGGUCAACUCGGAGGAAGGUGGGGAUGACGUCAAGUCAUCAUGCCCCUUAUGUCCAGGGCUUCACGCAUGCUACAAUGGCUGGUACAGAGAGUGGCGAGCCUGUGAGGGUGAGCGAAUCUCGGAAAGCCGGUCUCAGUUCGGAUUGGGGUCUGCAACUCGACCUCAUGAAGUCGGAGCCGCUAGUAAUCGCAGAUCAGCAACGCUGCGGUGAAUACGUUCCCGGGGCU
This 1346-nucleotide ribosomal RNA is filed under the name uncultured bacterium. RNAcentral's name for it is "partial 16S ribosomal RNA". It matches the Rfam family "Bacterial small subunit ribosomal RNA", at positions 28 to 1381 of the family's 1533-position model. The record is from RNAcentral.